GGGGAAACCCAGUGUGAUUCGUCACACUAUCAUUAACUGAAUCCAUAGGUUAAUGAGGCGAACCGGGGGAACUGAAACAUCUAAGUACCCCGAGGAAAAGAAAUCAACCGAGAUUCCCCCAGUAGCGGCGAGCGAACGGGGAGGAGCCCAGAGCCUGAAUCAGUGUGUGUGUUAGUGGAAGCGUCUGGAAAGGCGCGCGAUACAGGGUGACAGCCCCGUACACAAAAAUGCACAUGCUGUGAGCUCGAUGAGUAGGGCGGGACACGUGGUAUCCUGUCUGAAUAUGGGGGGACCAUCCUCCAAGGCUAAAUACUCCUGACUGACCGAUAGUGAACCAGUACCGUGAGGGAAAGGCGAAAAGAACCCCGGCGAGGGGAGUGAAAAAGAACCUGAAACCGUGUACGUACAAGCAGUGGGAGCACAGAGCAAUCUGUGUGACUGCGUACCUUUUGUAUAAUGGGUCAGCGACUUAUAUUCUGUAGCAAGGUUAACCGAAUAGGGGAGCCGAAGGGAAACCGAGUCUUAACUGGGCGUUAAGUUGCAGGGUAUAGACCCGAAACCCGGUGAUCUAGCCAUGGGCAGGUUGAAGGUUGGGUAACACUAACUGGAGGACCGAACCGACUAAUGUUGAAAAAUUAGCGGAUGACUUGUGGCUGGGGGUGAAAGGCCAAUCAAACCGGGAGAUAGCUGGUUCUCCCCGAAAGCUAUUUAGGUAGCGCCUCGUGAAUUCAUCUCCGGGGGUAGAGCACUGUUUCGGCAAGGGGGUCAUCCCGACUUACCAACCCGAUGCAAACUGCGAAUACCGGAGAAUGUUAUCACGGGAGACACACGGCGGGUGCUAACGUCCGUCGUGAAGAGGGAAACAACCCAGACCGCCAGCUAAGGUCCCAAAGUCAUGGUUAAGUGGGAAACGAUGUGGGAAGGCCCAGACAGCCAGGAUGUUGGCUUAGAAGCAGCCAUCAUUUAAAGAAAGCGUAAUAGCUCACUGGUCGAGUCGGCCUGCGCGGAAGAUGUAACGGGGCUAAACCAUG
RNAcentral lists this ribosomal RNA (1031 nucleotides) under Escherichia coli. Its description in RNAcentral is "partial 23S ribosomal RNA". It matches the Rfam family "Bacterial large subunit ribosomal RNA", at positions 120 to 1191 of the family's 2925-position model. Lineage: Bacteria; Pseudomonadati; Pseudomonadota; Gammaproteobacteria; Enterobacterales; Enterobacteriaceae. The record is from RNAcentral.